Felis catus (domestic cat) is the source of this 2153-nucleotide long non-coding RNA. RefSeq lists it as uncharacterized. The transcript is spliced from 5 exons. The record is from RefSeq and is a predicted model, not a curated record. Lineage: Eukaryota; Metazoa; Chordata; Mammalia; Carnivora; Felidae.
UGUGCUCUCCCAAUGUGAUACUAUGUUGUUUGUCCAUGAGGAAGGAGCCACUAACUCUCCUUGGUUUAGAGCCUACUUGGAGCUUUCAAGUGGUUCAGGAUUGAAAUAAUUUAUUCAGUCUGAUCCAUGGUAAUAACCCAACCCUGAGUAUUUGCACAUGGGAAAUAAGGGUAAAACGAAAAGCUUAUUAAAUGACUAAUGUAUAUCCACAAGGCGGACAGCAGAGUGUGUCUGUUGUGGAACAUUUGACCUCUUUUUCAGACCACAACACUUGGAAUGGCCAUCUGUCACCAAUGCGUGCUGUGUGCUGAAUGGAAGAGAAAUGGGCAUUUGCACUGCAAACUCCUUUGAAAGUGAUGGGAUGCAUUCUCCUGCCUUCUGAAUCCCCGAAAAAAUGAUUCCUAACGACCCUUUAUAGAAGUUCUAAACCAGUGCUCCAUGUGGAUCUUGCUUGUAAGUGGAUCCUGAUGACCGACACAGCGCUGCCUUUCUCUUCCCAAGACCUGUGUCUCUGCUGGUCCCUGUGAAGGAAGAAGAAAAUUUCCUCUAGCCAAGAUUCUUCUAGCUGGACUAAGAAUUGUCUUUACAUUAAACAGAUUAACAGGAAAUAACUCCGAAGUUUUAUUAUGCAUGCGUGGUGGCCCAAUAUUGAAACUGGGGACUAAAGAAAUGACCAAGGCAGGCAGUUUUCAUACUGUAUAGAUGAAAAGACAAUAAAUCUGUGAGGAAUUGAAAGGACAAAAAAACCUUAACUUUGGGAGCUUCAAUUAGUAAGGAAUUCUAAGUGGAAUUUGGGUUGAGGUAGUAAAUUAGUAAAAAGUAAAAAGGUUUGUUUAUAAAGCUUUCUCUCCUUUAAGGUCCCUAACUCUGGUGAUGAGGAUUCCUUUUUAUUAGCACAAAGAGGGGACUUUUAGUACAGGAGAUUUAUUUCUUGCAUUCACAGGAACAGAGGAGGGUCCGAGAGUCCUCGAACAGGAUGUCUCUUAAGUAACUUUUAUUUAAAAUAAUAUUGUCAAAGUGGUACAUUUUAGGUGCCCUGCCCUUGGCUUUACAUCCUUCUGCUACGAAUGCACAUCCACCAGCUCUUUACAUUGUUGGCUUAUGACCUAUUCUCUGGUGUCAGCUCAAGAUCUCAGGUCUUUAAAGAGGACUUUCUUGAUCACCCUGCUAUAUCUCAGCCACCUUCACACCUCCCACCAUACUUCGUAUCUAUCUUGCCUUAUUUAUGAUCUGUCUCCUCAACGAGUUAUAAGAUCUGUGAUAUUUAUGAUCGCUUGUCUAUAUUGUUUAUCACUGCAUCCCCACUGCUAGGAACAGUCCCCGGCACAAAACGGGAUCUAAAAUGAUGUGUUCAAUGAAUAAACAAAUGCUUAAUUUUUUGUGCUUUUGAAAGGUAAGAAAUAGAUUGAAUUCUAGAACAUUAGAGAUAGCUGGUAGGGUGUAGGGAAAAUCUUAUUUUGUUGUUUGGAUGUCAUUUUUUUCUUUUAUUAACAUACUGGUGCCAAAAAGAAUACAUUUAAGACUCUUGUGGUUAAGGUGUAGAUUAUCUUAGCACUGCAUACCUUCAUCAUAUAAGAUCAUGAAGGCACAGACAAUAUGGGAAGCUCUCGCAGUCCAAAAUUCAUAUAGUCCAAGCAUCUGUCUUUUCCACAUCUGAAAUCAGUUUUAAAGAGGUAGAGUAACCAUAAGGCAUAAAGUGAGUUAAAGUAAGGAUGGUGAAUUUAAAAUCCAGAUCUCUGGGCUCUCAAGCAUGUGUUAAUUAUGUAUAACGUUGACGUUAGUGUGUUCAUGUAUCUAUGUAUAUUCAGAGACAUGUAAUAAUAAACUAUGUUGGUGGGUAACUAUUACUAGAUUUUGUGAGGCAAAUUUAUGUCAAUUUUGAUAAAAUACCCAAUUGAAGUGAAUGUAGAAAGUUUUAAAAAACUCUUCUUCAUACUGGAAUUUUGCCAUUUGAUUGUUGCUUAAGAAGAGCAUAUGUUUAGUUUACUUAAGCAAAUUUUUAUUGCAGGGAUAUUUUUGCAGUAAUAGUGUUUGUUAAAAUAUAUUUGACUGGUAUUGUUUUAUUCUAUUAAACUGAUGAAGUCAGGUAAAUUUACUCUAUUGAUUCUAGGAAAAAAUCUAAGUUUUCACUUAAAAGCUUUUCCCAACUUAAA